This 652-nucleotide ribosomal RNA is filed under the name Salmonella enterica. RNAcentral's name for it is "bacterial SSU rRNA". It matches the Rfam family "Bacterial small subunit ribosomal RNA", at positions 868 to 1520 of the family's 1533-position model. The record is from RNAcentral. Lineage: Bacteria; Pseudomonadati; Pseudomonadota; Gammaproteobacteria; Enterobacterales; Enterobacteriaceae.
CCCGCCUGGGGAGUACGGCCGCAAGGUUAAAACUCAAAUGAAUUGACGGGGGCCCGCACAAGCGGUGGAGCAUGUGGUUUAAUUCGAUGCAACGCGAAGAACCUUACCUGGUCUUGACAUCCACGGAAGUUUUCAGAGAUGAGAAUGUGCCUUCGGGAACCGUGAGACAGGUGCUGCAUGGCUGUCGUCAGCUCGUGUUGUGAAAUGUUGGGUUAAGUCCCGCAACGAGCGCAACCCUUAUCCUUUGUUGCCAGCGAUUAGGCCGGGAACUCAAAGGAGACUGCCAGUGAUAAACUGGAGGAAGGUGGGGAUGACGUCAAGUCAUCAUGGCCCUUACGACCAGGGCUACACACGUGCUACAAUGGCGCAUACAAAGAGAAGCGACCUCGCGAGAGCAAGCGGACCUCAUAAAGUGCGUCGUAGUCCGGAUUGGAGUCUGCAACUCGACUCCAUGAAGUCGGAAUCGCUAGUAAUCGUGGAUCAGAAUGCCACGGUGAAUACGUUCCCGGGCCUUGUACACACCGCCCGUCACACCAUGGGAGUGGGUUGCAAAAGAAGUAGGUAGCUUAACCUUCGGGAGGGCGCUUACCACUUUGUGAUUCAUGACUGGGGUGAAGUCGUAACAAGGUAACCGUAGGGGAACCUGCGGUUG